UAGGGCUAACAAUUGACCAUGAAGAAAACCAUAUUUACGAAGAUUUACCAUGGUGGAAUCUUAUUCGAGAUAUUUGUACCUACUUAUGUUGGAAACUGUGUGUCUGCACUCAGGGACUUAUUCCUGUCUUGUUAGAAUUGUUACCAAAUGUUGAGAAAAGGAUGUGUGCUAGACUUAUAUGGAAUAACUGGCAUGUGAACUGGAAAGGAGAAAGAAAGAAACAUUUUUGGAGAUGCUCAAAGGCCUCGUUUGAAGUCAAGUUUGGUGAAAAAGUUCAUGCAAUGUCUAAGUUAGGUAAGAAGGAUAUAAAAGAUGACUUACUAUAUUAUGAUCCCAUAAAUUGGUGUAGGGCUUUUUUCAUACUCACCCUAGUGUGAUGUUGUAGAAAAUAACAUAUGUGAGACUUUCAAUUCCUAGAUCUUAGUUAAAUAAAUCAAUUAUUUACCGUGUUAGAGGAUAUUAGGCAUAAAAUAAUGAACAGACAUAUACACAUGAUCAAAUUUGAUGAAACAUAGAUAUCAGACAUUUCACCUAUGGCAAGGGAUAUGCUAUAUAAAAAAAAGAGUAUUCAAAUAAAUGUAAUGUUCAAUGGAAUGGAGUGAAUGAUUUUGAGAUUAGUGAUGGUGAAUACUCAUUUGUUGUUGACUUGGAGAAGAACCAUUGUGACUGUAAGUUGUGGAUGUUGAGAGGUAUACCUUGCCCUCAUACUAUUUGUGAUUAUUAUUACUUGAGCCAAGAUCCUGACCAACAUGUAGAGCACUGGUAUAUGAAGGAAACAUUUCUCAAGGCUUACAACCAUUUCAUCCAACCUAUUCCUAAUAUGAGGAUGUGACCUAAAACUACAAAUCCAUCAAUUGAGCCUACAAAAUCAAGAAAAAUGCCAUAUAGACCUAGAAAGAAGAGAAGAAAGAGUAAGGAUGAACCAAACAAAUGGGGGAAAUUUCAAGAAAAGGAGUAAAGAUGAGAUGUUCUAUAUGUAAGAAAACUGAUCAUAACAAAGUUGUGUGCGCAAGAGUAAGUAUUACUAGUUAUAUUCACAUUUAUGAAUUGCUUUAAGUUUAUAAUCAUAUGUUUUAUUUUGUGGUGACAUAGUAUGGGGGAGGGGGGGAACAUUUAUCAACCUACAAGUCAAGGAAAUUCAAGCAAACAAAGUUAUUCUCAAACAGGAGUAAGAUUUAUUUUACAUAUUCAUUUGCAUUAAUUUUUAUUGUAUAAGUUAUUCAUAUGUCCUUAUUUUUGCUCAAUAGGUUAGAACACAAAGUUCUGUUUAUCCUGAUACCACUACUGUGCCAAGAAUUUUGCCAUUAGUAACUCAUUUGCAUUUUCUGUUUGUUCUACAAGUUAUCAUAUAUCCUUAUUUAUGCUAUAUAGUCUACAAUGGGAGGUCCAUCACAUUUUACUUAAGAAUCACAUAAGCAACUACACAAUCAAGUCAACCAACUUCUAUUUGUGUUGACACAACAUCUGUGCCAAGACCUGCUCAAAAUAGAGUUCAAGUUGGGACUGAAAGAGGAUUGGGAAGAACAAAAGCUAAUGCAAGAGAAACCUCAUUUGUUACUGAAAGGAUUAGUUCUUCUAGUCAAUUGUAACCUUUAUCAGGUCACAGGAGAUAAUACAGUUCUGCCUCAUUUGCUGCUGCUACUGGAGAAAACAAAAGGCUUGCAACUGGUUUUAAUAUUUACUUUGAUCCUACAACUGGAGCCCAAGUAUUUAAUCCUGGUAAUCAAGUGAGAAGAUUUUGCAUAGGUCAACAAAAUUGAAGAGUGCUUCACCAACCAAUAUAAACAUUGAUUUUAAACUCCGUGGCCUAAAAUGGAAGAGAAAAGAUGCAGUCAGCACCUCACAGUUGCAACAAAUGAAAGCUAAAAAGAAAAAUUAGAAGUAGUUAAUUUGGAAAGUAGUUAUGAUUUUGGCUCAUGUUAAAAGGGUUUUUUUGAAAAACAAGUUACUCUUUAGUUUAUUUGAACACUCGUCUAAUGUAUUUUUGAACAUUGUUUUUGUGUUAGCAAUACUAUGUAUUUUUGAACCAUGUAAGACAAUGGUUUGUUAUGUAUUUUUCAACCAUUACUUUG
Long non-coding RNA from Solanum lycopersicum (tomato), 2072 nucleotides. RefSeq lists it as uncharacterized. The record is from RefSeq and is a predicted model, not a curated record. Lineage: Eukaryota; Viridiplantae; Streptophyta; Magnoliopsida; Solanales; Solanaceae.